CACCGUUCCGGCCUUUCAAGAGCCAACUGCCACGAUUGUGCGCAUGACUCGCAUUACUAGCACAUGUAUAAAAGGGCUGCCCAGCCUGCGUUCGUCAGUAGAAAAGGCAAGCAUUGUCGAGGUCAGUCACGCGGGAUUCCUGGCAAAGAAACCAAACGUCACCACCUAGAACGAGAGCAUGGAUCCUGAACUGCGUGAAGAACCAUGCGUGCUUACCUCUGAAUUGCACAUGCAACACAUGGUACGCCAAUCUUUUCUGGGGAUGGUAUUAGGACACAUGAUCAAGAAUGAUCGCAUCGUACGCUGCAUCGGGAGAAGUGUUUUAAUUAUAUCGCUAGCUGUUGCUGGGAUCAGUACCCUUAUAGCCCUUGCAGCUGUCCCUGCGGGCGUACUACGGCCAGCCAACAUCAGCGCUGGAAGUUCCAAGCUUACGACUGCGUGGUUUUCGUGCCACGCCAGAGACUCGCCGGAUCCAAGGAACUUGCAUCACAACUGUACGUCUGUGAAUUCAACGUCAUCUAGAAAUGCAACAGAACAUAGCGAUUAUCUUGAACAUAUGCUCAGGAUCCGAAAUGACACUUCAAAUAUCGGGAAUGUACGCACACGCAAAGUGACUGCGCAGCCCAAAGUGAGCGCGCAGCCCAAUCGUACCACCGAAAACGAUACAGUCGUAUCAUACGGUAAUGACGAGACUUCUUUCAAUCUAUCCGGCAACCGAUGCGAUUAGCAGUUGUGGGCGUUAUCUCGCAGAAGCGAGAGGUUGCGACCGGAUUCCCACGACAGCAUUUCCGCGGUGUCCCAACGUUUCAAUGUCAGUGUGGCGUGCAAGAACGACAUGGACGUCAUCGUCUCGUACCAGAAGUGGUAGUUCGGCAACCUAUCCGACGAUGUGUCCCUCACUGAAGUCUGUUACAAGGCCGAGGUUGUCUCCCCAUCGCCGAAAUUCAGGAUAGCCGCCGCAUGUAUGAUCGGUAACAGCGAGGGGAAGGGAUUAGAAAAGAUCACCAAGAAACGUAAUGAAAUUAGCCAAGGAUGGCUAUAUGAGCAGGAAACCUGUCGUGCGCUUCAACCUACUCACGGCAUGCGGCUACACCCAGUGCGGGUCGACCAAGGACAGCGUUUGCUACAUCGCCGAAAGCUGUCAUUUUACUACUAUCUCCGAGGCGCCAGAGCGUUGCAAGAGUGUGCUCUAUCUGAUAUGCGAAGCAUUUGAUGAAGAUCCGGUGCCCGUCGUACUCCCAUCGUCCAGCGUCUCCGUGAAUCCGUCGGCGAAAUCGGCGGUCAGCUCGGCCGCGAUGAAGCAGCCUGACGAGCUCGCGGCACAUCUCGGGACCAUCCUCGAUAAGCCGUCCUUGUACAGGCGCUACUUCACUUGAAAGAGUAACUACACUGUGGGUGCUGCCGUCGGCUGUCUCUGCGCUCUCGGCGAGGCACAUCAUGAAUCAUCGCUUCGCAGCCCAGAGCCCCCGAACCUUCUCAAAGGCCGGCUGCAGUGCGCACAUCAUUGCAGUAGGGCUUCCUGCAUUCUGAAGUAAUCGCUUGUUCCUCAGAAAUCAAACGCAUCGCAAACUAGAUUGAAGCGGUCGUAAUUCGGCUUCCUUUCUCUUGCGAUAAGGUGUUUUAGCCGUAUUUGACAGCGCUUAAGAGUGCGAAAUUCAUCCAUUGCUCCAGAAUCAUUUCCUUUUUUACGUAACCUUUCUGUAUUAUUCACAAAUAAAGUCUUUUUAGCAGA
Molecule: long non-coding RNA, 1732 nt
Organism: Dermacentor albipictus
Lineage: Eukaryota; Metazoa; Arthropoda; Arachnida; Ixodida; Ixodidae
Source: RefSeq, a predicted model, not a curated record